AACCUAAUUCGAAGUAGUUUGCCAUGAUUCUCUCACCUAUCUACCCUUCUAUGGGUUCUGCACUUAUGUCUUAUCUGACCAGUAUACUGAAUCACCUCUGUCUUUUCCUCCUUGCAAUGGCCAUGUCAUCUCUAGAACUGGUUUGAAUAAGUCCCGUCUUCCUUCCUCAACCUACUCUUGUGCACUGGUGAAUCCCACAGAUGAAAACAUAGACCACAUGUUGAAGGAAAGUUUGAAACGUGUUGACGAAUCAUAGAAGUAGUGUGACUUGUGACCUUUUUCUAUUUUUGUCUCUAGUCUUAAAUCUGUUUUCUUAUUAUCAUCUCUUAACCAAAUUCAUUUCUAGUCUAUUUUAUUGCUUUUUACUUGUAUGCUUGCUUAAGAAUGUGAUCUGACUUUUUAUCGUUAUAAACAUACAAAUAUGUGAUCAAUUUGGACUUUGUUUUUGUAUUUUUUUUUAACAUUUAUAUGUACAUGGUAUGUAUUAUUUUAGUUAUUUUGGUUAAAUCAUUUUAAAUAGUAGCAGUUCUGCUGUAAUAUUUGUUGCGGUUGUAAUAUUUUCUUUUUGUUGCAUCGAUAUUUAUGGAUAUUAUUCUUAACUCCUUGUAUGGCAAAUUCAUAGCAUCAAAUCAUAGUAGAGUAAUUUUAUUUUGUCCUAUUUAUCUAAUAAAAAAAAUCUGGUUCUGUGUGUAUGCCUUGUUUGUUUUAACAGACUACACUCAGUGAGCAUGACAAUGAAAUGUCAAGGAGAUUGAUGAAGUUACUUGAGAAGUUGAGAAAUAAAGAUCGUGCUUAUUACCAGUUAUGCCACCUUGUGAGGCAAGGUGAACAGCCCAAAGAAGGAUUCCUCUUUCUUUCAAACCUCGUUGAGGACCAGAUGGGUGGUAACAGUGGGUACGCUGAAUGGAUGUUACAGAUAUCCCGGCAAGUGCAGCAAUCAUAAUGUUUAGCUUCCCUGGCUAAAUAAGCAGUUUUUAAAGACGGGUUUUAUUUUUUGUCUGGCAAGUGAGGACCAUUUCUUUCUGCAUUGAAAAUAUAUUGAAUCUAUCCAUUCCGGUGGUUGGACAGGCAUCCUUGACCUGGCUAAAUUGAUCGUGAUUUGUGAGUAAGAUGCUUUUGGGAGAUUGUUGAUUCAUCCUGAGAUGUAUCGAUUAGGUUAAACACUACCACAGAUUGAAUUUAAACAUGUUUUCAGGUGAUAAAGGGAAAAGGGGAACUUUUUUGUUUUUGUUAUUUUACCUUGUGAGAUAGAUCGUCAUUUUCGGUCUUAAAUUUCCUUUUGUCGUAAUCUUAUGGUUGAUUCUUUUAUUGUAGAAAAAGAAAGUAGAAAGAGAACUGAGAAGAGAUGGCAUGUCAAAUCAGUCUUGCGAAAUCUUAAAUUUUGAUUGUUGACAAUUGUUACUUA
Vigna umbellata (rice bean) is the source of this 1405-nucleotide non-coding RNA. The record is from RefSeq and is a predicted model, not a curated record. NCBI's taxonomy places the organism in Eukaryota, Viridiplantae, Streptophyta, Magnoliopsida, Fabales, Fabaceae.